UUUCCGUAGGUGAACCUGCGGAAGGAUCAUUACCGAGUGAGGGCCCUCUGGGUCCAACCUCCCACCCGUGUUUAUCGUACCUUGUUGCUUCGGCGGGCCCGCCUCACGGCCGCCGGGGGGCACCCGCCCCCGGGCCCGCGCCCGCCGAAGACACCAUUGAACGCUGUCUGAAGAUUGCAGUCUGAGCAUCUUAGCCAAAUCAGUUAAAACUUUCAACAACGGAUCUCUUGGUUCCG
RNAcentral lists this unclassified non-coding RNA (236 nucleotides) under plant metagenome. RNAcentral describes it as "partial contains small subunit ribosomal RNA, internal transcribed spacer 1, and 5.8S ribosomal RNA". The record is from RNAcentral.